RNAcentral lists this ribosomal RNA (499 nucleotides) under uncultured bacterium. RNAcentral describes it as "partial 16S ribosomal RNA". It matches the Rfam family "Bacterial small subunit ribosomal RNA", at positions 899 to 1397 of the family's 1533-position model. The record is from RNAcentral.
ACUCAAAGGAAUAGACGGGGGCCCGCACAAGCGGUGGAUCAUGUGGUUUAAUUCGAAGCAACGCGAAGAACCUUACCUGGAUUUGACAUCCUCUGACACCCGUAGAGAUACGGUUUUCGUAGCAAUACGACAGAGAGACAGGUGCUGCAUGGCUGUCGUCAGCUCGUGUGGUGACAUGUUGGGUUAAGUCCCGCAACGAGCGCAACCCCUAUCUUUAGUUGCCAGCAUUCAGUUGGGCACUCUAGAGAGACUGCCGUGGUUAACACGGAGGAAGGUGGGGAUGACGUCAAGUCCUCAUGGCCUUUAUAUCCAGGGCGACACACGUGAUACAAUGGUCGGUACAGAGGGAAGCGAAUGCGCGAGCAGGAGCAAAUCUCAAAAAGCCGAUCUCAGUUCGGAUUGGAGUCUGCAACUCGACUCCAUGAAGUUGGAAUCGCUAGUAAUCGCGGAUCAGCACGCCGCGGUGAAUACGUUCCCGGGCCUUGUACACACCGCCCGU